This 367-nucleotide ribosomal RNA is filed under the name uncultured bacterium. RNAcentral's name for it is "bacterial SSU rRNA". It matches the Rfam family "Bacterial small subunit ribosomal RNA", at positions 29 to 419 of the family's 1533-position model. The record is from RNAcentral.
AGCGAACGCUGGCGGCAGGCUUAACACAUGCAAGUCGAACGCGCGUAGCAAUACGUGAGUGGCAGACGGGUGAGGAACACGUGGGAACAUACCCUUUGGUUCGGAAUAACUCAGGGAAACUUGAGCUAAUACCGGAUAAGUCGGAAACGAGAAAGAUUUAUCGCCGAAGGAGUGGCCCGCGUCUGAUUAGCUAGUUGGUGAGGUAAUGGCUCACCAAGGCGACGAUCAGUAGCUGGUCUGAGAGGAUGAUCAGCCACACUGGGACUGAGACACGGCCCAGACUCCUACGGGAGGCAGCAGUGGGGAAUUUUGGGACAAUGGGCGCAAGCCUGGUCCAGCCCAUUCCGCGUGCAGGAUGAAGGCCUUC